This 292-nucleotide long non-coding RNA is filed under the name Chinchilla lanigera (long-tailed chinchilla). RNAcentral describes it as "lncRNA (ENSCLAG00000027152.1)". The record is from RNAcentral. Lineage: Eukaryota; Metazoa; Chordata; Mammalia; Rodentia; Chinchillidae.
UGGACUUCCUAGAAAAGAGGAGAGCUGUGAGGAUUGAAGAAAGAAAGACAGGAAUAAAGUACUACAUAAAGAAAGGCUCUUUUCUGGGUGUUACCUCCUCGAGUCCAAGCAUUGGCCUGGCUGCUGAGCACAGAGGUGGUGGAAUAAUGUAGCUGCUCUCACGUGGCUCAGAGAGUGACUCAGGACUCCAGGCUGAGCCAUGGCAGGCACGGUUCUCACUGAGGUGAUAGCUUCUGAGUGAGCUUGGGAGCAGAGAGUGGGGAAGUGGGGAGAGUAAAGGAUUUCUGCUCUG